GAUGAACGCUGGCGGCGUGCCUAAUACAUGCAAGUAGAACGCUGAAGCUUGGUGCUUGCACCGAGCGGAAGAGUUGCGAACGGGUGAGUAACGCGUAGGUAACCUGCCUCUUAGCGGGGGAUAACUAUUGGAAACGAUAGCUAAUACCGCAUAAAAGUCGAUAUCGCAUGAUAUUGAUUUGAAAGGUGCAAUUGCAUCACUAAGAGAUGGACCUGCGUUGUAUUAGCUAGUUGGUGAGGUAACGGCUCACCAAGGCGACGAUACAUAGCCGACCUGAGAGGGUGAUCGGCCACACUGGGACUGAGACACGGCCCAGACUCCUACGGGAGGCAGCAGUAGGGAAUCUUCGGCAAUGGGGGCAACCCUGACCGAGCAACGCCGCGUGAGUGAAGAAGGUUUUCGGAUCGUAAAGCUCUGUUGUAAGAGAAGAACGAGUGUGAGAGUGGAAAGUUCACACUG
This 459-nucleotide ribosomal RNA is filed under the name Streptococcus parasanguinis. RNAcentral's name for it is "bacterial SSU rRNA". It matches the Rfam family "Bacterial small subunit ribosomal RNA", at positions 28 to 471 of the family's 1533-position model. Lineage: Bacteria; Bacillati; Bacillota; Bacilli; Lactobacillales; Streptococcaceae. The record is from RNAcentral.